RNAcentral lists this ribosomal RNA (812 nucleotides) under uncultured Bacteroidota bacterium. RNAcentral describes it as "bacterial SSU rRNA". It matches the Rfam family "Bacterial small subunit ribosomal RNA", at positions 66 to 885 of the family's 1533-position model. The record is from RNAcentral. Lineage: Bacteria; Pseudomonadati; Bacteroidota.
GGGUAUAUGUCUUCGGAUAUAGAGACCGGCGCACGGGUGCGUAACGCGUAUGCAAUCUACCUUUUACAGGGGAAUAGCCCAGAGAAAUUUGGAUUAAUGCCCCAUAGUAUAAUUGAAUGGCAUCAUUUAAUUAUUAAAGUCACAACGGUAAAAGAUGAGCAUGCGUCCCAUUAGUUAGUUGGUAAGGUAACGGCUUACCAAGACAAUGAUGGGUAGGGGUCCUGAGAGGGAGAUCCCCCACACUGGUACUGAGACACGGACCAGACUCCUACGGGAGGCAGCAGUGAGGAAUAUUGGACAAUGGGCGCAAGCCUGAUCCAGCCAUGCCGCGUGCAGGAAGACGGUCCUAUGGAUUGUAAACUGCUUUUAUACAGGAAGAAACACUCCGACGUGUCGGAGCUUGACGGUACUGUAGGAAUAAGGAUCGGCUAACUCCGUGCCAGCAGCCGCGGUAAUACGGAGGAUCCAAGCGUUAUCCGGAAUCAUUGGGUUUAAAGGGUCCGUAGGCGGUUUAAUAAGUCAGUGGUGAAAUCUGGUCGCUCAACGAUCAAACGGCCAUUGAUACUGUUAGACUUGAAUUAUAAGGAAGUAACUAGAAUAUGUAGUGUAGCGGUGAAAUGCUUAGAUAUUACAUGGAAUACCAAUUGCGAAGGCAGGUUACUACUUAUGGAUUGACGCUGAUGGACGAAAGCGUGGGGAGCGAACAGGAUUAGAUACCCUGGUAGUCCACGCCGUAAACGAUGGAUACUAGCUGUUGGGCGCAAGUUCAGUGGCUAAGCGAAAGUGAUAAGUAUCCCACCUGGGGAGUACGU